CUGUGGUCUCUCCCUUUCUCUGAGUUCUCCUACUCUGGUCUCUUCCUUUCUUUGUGGUGUACUACUCUUUUCUCC
Molecule: long non-coding RNA, 75 nt
Organism: Sander lucioperca (pikeperch)
Lineage: Eukaryota; Metazoa; Chordata; Actinopteri; Perciformes; Percidae
Exons: 3
Source: RefSeq, a predicted model, not a curated record